ACCCUGCAGGGAUAAAUCUUUCGGAAAGCCGUGUCCGCGGUUAUGGACGACUUGGUUGGUCAUUACUUGAUCAUAGAGAACUUAACCAACUUAAUCUCAAAAACUUGAGUAGUAAUUAGCCUUAAUCAUGGAUAUGCUUAAACUGCUUAAGUGUGAGUGUCCUUUGGAUUGCUUCCUCACAGGGUGUUGAGGGGGUGAUAUGAGGAUUGUGUUGUUUGGU
RNAcentral lists this long non-coding RNA (220 nucleotides) under Brachypodium distachyon (stiff brome). RNAcentral's name for it is "long non-coding RNA (BDIS_LNC002101)". Lineage: Eukaryota; Viridiplantae; Streptophyta; Magnoliopsida; Poales; Poaceae. The record is from RNAcentral.